UACGAAGGGGGCUAGCGUUGCUCGGAAUGACUGGGCGUAAAGGGCGCGUAGGCGGUGCAAUGGGUCAGAUGUGAAAUUCCUGGGCUUAACCUGGGGGCUGCAUUUGAAACUAUUGCGCUAGAGUUUGGAAGAGGGUCGUGGAAUUCCCAGUGUAGAGGUGAAAUUCGUAGAUAUUGGGAAGAACACCGGUGGCGAAGGCGGCGACCUGGUCCUUGACUGACGCUGAGGCGCGAAAGCGUGGGGAGCAAACAGG
This 253-nucleotide ribosomal RNA is filed under the name uncultured bacterium. RNAcentral's name for it is "partial 16S ribosomal RNA". It matches the Rfam family "Bacterial small subunit ribosomal RNA", at positions 524 to 776 of the family's 1533-position model. The record is from RNAcentral.